ACAGGGCUGGCUCAGUGGGUAGAGCAUGUGACUCUUGAUCCUGUGGUUGUGAGUUAGAGUCCCAUGUUAGGUG
RNAcentral lists this transfer RNA (73 nucleotides) under Canis lupus familiaris (dog). It matches the Rfam family "tRNA". From Rfam's summary of the family: Transfer RNA (tRNA) molecules are approximately 80 nucleotides in length. Their secondary structure includes four short double-helical elements and three loops (D, anti-codon, and T loops). Lineage: Eukaryota; Metazoa; Chordata; Mammalia; Carnivora; Canidae. The record is from Rfam by way of RNAcentral. RNAcentral also lists the same sequence under 1 other name.